GACGAAGGGCGCGGGUGUUAUUCGUGUUGAUUGGGUGUAAAGGGUACGCAGGCGGUUUUAGACAGCUUCCUUCUGGCCAACAAUGGUGGAGUGUUCCUAUACCAGAGCCGGUUAGAGCUAAAACUUGUGGUGAAGAGGGGUGGGGUUAAUUCCGUAUGUAGGGGUCUAAUCCUAAGAUAUGCGGACGAAUACCAACUAGCGAAGGCGCCUUUCCAGCUUGACCAGACGCUAAGGUACGGAAGCUUAGGUAUCAAACAGG
Molecule: ribosomal RNA, 259 nt
Filed under: uncultured bacterium
Lineage: Bacteria
Description: partial 16S ribosomal RNA
Rfam family: Bacterial small subunit ribosomal RNA
Source: RNAcentral